UACGGAGGGAGCUAGCGUUGUUCGGAAUUACUGGGCGUAAAGCGCGCGUAGGCGGCUUUGUAAGUUAGAGGUGAAAGCCCGGGGCUCAACCCCGGAACUGCCUUUAAAACUGCAUCGCUUGAAUCCGGGAGAGGUGAGUGGAAUUCCGAGUGUAGAGGUGAAAUUCGUAGAUAUUCGCAAGAACACCAGUGGCGAAGGCGGCUGACUGGUCCGGUUCUGACGCUGAGGCGCGAAAGCGUGGGGAGCAAACAGG
Molecule: ribosomal RNA, 253 nt
Filed under: uncultured bacterium
Lineage: Bacteria
Description: partial 16S ribosomal RNA
Rfam family: Bacterial small subunit ribosomal RNA
Source: RNAcentral